RNAcentral lists this ribosomal RNA (705 nucleotides) under Bacillus subtilis. RNAcentral's name for it is "partial 16S ribosomal RNA". It matches the Rfam family "Bacterial small subunit ribosomal RNA", at positions 187 to 873 of the family's 1533-position model. The record is from RNAcentral. Lineage: Bacteria; Bacillati; Bacillota; Bacilli; Caryophanales; Bacillaceae.
CGCAUGGUUCAAACAUAAAAGGYGGCUUGGCUWCCMCUUWCAGAUGGACCCGCGGCGCAUUAGCUAGUUGGUGAGGUAAUGGYUCACCAAGRMAAYGAUGCGUAKCCGACCUGAGAGGGUGAUCGGCCACACUGGGACUGAGACACGGCCCAGACUCCUMCGGGAGGCAGCWGUAGGGAAUCUUCYGCAAUGGACGAAAGUCUGACGGAGCAACGCCGCGUGAGUGAUGAAGGUUUUCGGAUSGUAAAGCUCUGYUGUUAGGGAAGAACAAGUACCGUUCGAAUAGGGCGGUACCUUGMCGGUACCUAACCAGAAAGCCACGGCUAACUACGUGCCAGCAGCCGCGGUAAUWCGUAGGUGGCAAGCGUUGUCCGGAAUUAUUGGGCGUAAAGGGCUCGCAGGCGGUUUCUUAAGUCUGAUGUGAAAGCCCCCGGCUCAACCGGGGAGGGUCAUUGGAAACUGGGGAACUUGAGUGCAGAAGAGGAGAGUGGAAUUCCACGUGUAGCGGUGAAAUGCGUAGAGAUGUGGAGGAACACCAGUGGCGAAGGCGACUCUCUGGUCUGUAACUGACGCUGAGGAGCGAAAGCGUGGGGAGCGAACAGGAUUAGAUACCCUGGUAGUCCACGCCGUAAACGAUGAGUGCUAAGUGUUAGGGGGUUUCCGCCCCUUAGUGCUGCAGCUAACGCAUUAAGCACYCCCCCCCAG